Molecule: transfer RNA, 164 nt
Filed under: Candidatus Freyarchaeota archaeon
Lineage: Archaea; Promethearchaeati; Candidatus Freyarchaeota
Also listed under: 1 other name
Description: tRNA-Pro
Rfam family: tRNA
About the family: Transfer RNA (tRNA) molecules are approximately 80 nucleotides in length. Their secondary structure includes four short double-helical elements and three loops (D, anti-codon, and T loops).
Source: RNAcentral
GGGGUUGUGGUCUAGAGGACUGGAGGACUCCUCUAAUCCGGAGAACUUGGUAUGAGCCCUUCGGGAGUUCCCGACGGGUACAGUUCCGCUUUAAACCCUUAAAGCGGCAGGAGUCCUGCCUGGGGCGCAGGCGAUCCCGAGUUCAAAUCUCGGCAACCCCACCA